Molecule: ribosomal RNA, 393 nt
Filed under: uncultured bacterium
Lineage: Bacteria
Description: partial 16S ribosomal RNA
Rfam family: Bacterial small subunit ribosomal RNA
Source: RNAcentral
AUACGGAAGGUCCGGGCGUUAUCCGGAUUUAUUGGGUUUAAAGGGAGCGCAGGCGGAGAUGCAAGCGUGACGUCAAAUUUCGGGGCUCAACCCCGUCUCGCGUCGCGAACUGCGUCCCUUGGUUGCGGGAAGGGGAGGCGGAACUCGGGGUGGAGCGGGGGAAUGCAUAGAUAUCACGAAGAACUCCGAUCGCGAAGGCAGCCUUCCGGCCCGUCAACGACGCUCAUGCUCGAAGGUGCGGGUAUCAAACAGGAUUAGAUACCCUGGUAGUCCGCACAGUAAACGAUGGACACCCGCGGUUUGGCCUGUAUGGCUGAGCCGCCAAGCGAAAGCGUUAAGUGUCCCACCUGGGGAGUACGCCGGCAACGGUGAAACUCAAAGGAAUUGACGGGG